GACGGGUGAGUAAUACGUAGGAAUCUACCCUCAAGCGGGGGACAACCAAGGGAAACUUUGGCUAAUACCGCAUAAUCUCGAGAGAGCAAAGCUGCUGUAAGGCGGCACUUGAGGAGGAGCCUGCGUCCGAUUAGCUAGUUGGUGAGGUAAGAGCUCACCAAGGCGAUGAUCGGUAACUGGUCUGAGAGGACGACCAGUCACACUGGGACUGAGACACGGCCCAGACUCC
This 229-nucleotide ribosomal RNA is filed under the name uncultured bacterium. Its description in RNAcentral is "partial 16S ribosomal RNA". It matches the Rfam family "Bacterial small subunit ribosomal RNA", at positions 102 to 339 of the family's 1533-position model. The record is from RNAcentral.